This 681-nucleotide ribosomal RNA is filed under the name fungal endophyte. Its description in RNAcentral is "eukaryotic LSU rRNA". The stretch from base 191 to 344 matches the Rfam family "5.8S ribosomal RNA". Lineage: Eukaryota; Fungi. The record is from RNAcentral.
CGGAGGGAUCAUUAAAGAGUUCUAUAACUCCCAAACCCAUGUGAACAUACCUAACGUUGCCUCGGCAGGUCGCGCCUACCUCGUAGCCCCCUACCCUGUAGGGCCUACCCGGGAGACGCGGGUAAGCCUGCCGGCGGCCCACCAAACUCUGUUUGAUAUUGAAUUCUGAACCUAUAACUAAAUAAGUUAAAACUUUCAACAACGGAUCUCUUGGUUCUGGCAUCGAUGAAGAACGCAGCGAAAUGCGAUAAGUAAUGUGAAUUGCAGAAUUCAGUGAAUCAUCGAAUCUUUGAACGCAUAUUGCGCCCAUUAGUAUUCUAGUGGGCAGGACCGUUCGAGCGUCAUUUCGACCCUUAAGCCUUGGUUGCUUAGUGUUGGGAGCCUACGGUAACGUAGCUCCUCAAAGUUAGUGGCGGAGUUGGUUCACACUCUAGACGUAGUAAUUUUUUAUCUCGCCUAUCAGUUGGACCGAUCCCCUGCCGUAAAACCCCCAACUUCUCAAGGUUGACCUCGAAUCGGUUCAGACAAACUCGCUAAAUUGAAGCAUCUUAGUCAGCGAAGGAAAAGAAACCAACAGGGAUUGCCCUAGUAACGGCGAGUGAAGCGGCAACAGCUCAAAUUUGAAAUCUGGCCCUCGGGUCCGAGUUGUAAUUUGUAGAGGAUGCUUUUGGCGCGGUGCCU